AGGAUCAUUCGCAAUGGACGGAAGUCUGACGAUGCGACGCUGCGUGGAGGAUGAAGGUCUUCGGAUCGUAAACUCCUGUCAUGAGGGAAAAGGCGAGGGGGCCCAAUACGCUCCUUAGUUGAUGGUACCUCAAGAGGAAGGGACGGCUCACUCUGUGCCAGCAGCCGCGGUAAUACAGAGGUCCCUAGCGUUGUUCGGAUUUACUGGGCGUAAAGGGCACGUAGGCGGCGAGGUGUGUCGAGUGUGAAAUCUCCGGGCUCAACCCGGAAAGUGCGCUCGAAACUGCCUUGCUGGAGUACGGGAGAGGGAAGGGGAAUGCAGGGUGUAGCGGUGAAAUGCGUUGAUAUCCUGCAGAACACCGGAGGCGAAGGCGCCUUCCUGGAACGUUACUGACGCUAAGGUGCGAAAGUCGGGGGAGCAAACA
RNAcentral lists this ribosomal RNA (424 nucleotides) under uncultured bacterium. RNAcentral describes it as "bacterial SSU rRNA". It matches the Rfam family "Bacterial small subunit ribosomal RNA", at positions 358 to 774 of the family's 1533-position model. The record is from RNAcentral.